AUUGAACGCUGGCGGCAGGCCUAACACAUGCAAGUCGAGCGGAUGAAGGGAGCUUGCUCCUGGAUUCAGCGGCGGACGGGUGAGUAAUGCCUAGGAAUCUGCCUGGUAGUGGGGGAUAACGUCCGGAAACGGGCGCUAAUACCGCAUACGUCCUGAGGGAGAAAGUGGGGGAUCUUCGGACCUCACGCUAUCAGAUGAGCCUAGGUCGGAUUAGCUAGUUGGUGGGGUAAAGGCCUACCAAGGCGACGAUCCGUAACUGGUCUGAGAGGAUGAUCAGUCACACUGGAACUGAGAAACGGUCCAGACUCCUACGGGAGGCAGCAGUGGGGAAUAUUGGACAAUGGGCGAAAGCCUGAUCCAGCCAUGCCGCGGGUGUGAAGAAGGUCUUCGGAUUGUAAAGCACUUUAAGUUGGGAGGAAGGGCAGUAAGUUAAUACCUUGCUGUUUUGACGUUACCAACAGAAUAAGCACCGGCUAACUGCGU
This 483-nucleotide ribosomal RNA is filed under the name uncultured bacterium. Its description in RNAcentral is "partial 16S ribosomal RNA". It matches the Rfam family "Bacterial small subunit ribosomal RNA", at positions 30 to 506 of the family's 1533-position model. The record is from RNAcentral.